Non-coding RNA from Trichonephila inaurata madagascariensis, 73 nucleotides. NCBI's taxonomy places the organism in Eukaryota, Metazoa, Arthropoda, Arachnida, Araneae, Nephilidae. The record is from the annotation of a GenBank genome assembly.
GUCCCUGGAGCGCAAUGGGUAGCGCGUUGGACUUCUAAUCAAAAGAUUGAGGGCUCAAAUUCCGCCUGGGAUG